GAUGAACGCUGGCGGCGUGCUUAACACAUGCAAGUCGAACGGUGAAGCAGGAGCUUGCUCUUGUGGAUCAGUGGCGAACGGGUGAGUAGCACGUGAGCAACCUGCCCCUGACUCUGGGAUAAGCGCUGGAAACGGCGUCUAAUACUGGAUAUGUGAUGUGACCGCAUGGUCUGCAUCUGGAAAGAAUUUCGGUUGGGGAUGGGCUCGCGGCCUAUCAGCUUGUUGGUGAGGUAAUGGCUCACCAAGGCGUCGACGGGUAGCCGGCCUGAGAGGGUGACCGGCCACACUGGGACUGAGACAAGGCCCAGACUCCUACGGGAGGCAGCAGUGGGGAAUAUUGCACAAUGGGCGGAAGCCUGAUGCAGCAACGCCGCGUGAGGGAUGACGGCCUUCGGGUUGUAAACUUCUUUUAGCAGGGAAGAAGCGAAAGUGACGGUACCUGCAGAAAAAGCACCGGCUAACUACGUGCCAGCCGCCGCAGUAA
RNAcentral lists this ribosomal RNA (484 nucleotides) under uncultured bacterium. Its description in RNAcentral is "partial 16S ribosomal RNA". It matches the Rfam family "Bacterial small subunit ribosomal RNA", at positions 28 to 523 of the family's 1533-position model. The record is from RNAcentral.